ACCGCGAACGGGUGAGUAACACGUGGGUAACCUGCCCCGAUGAUUGGGACAACCCGAGGAAACUCGGGCUAAAUACCGAAUGUGCCCCUAUGGCCUCAAGGCCGCUAGGGAAAGGAAGCUUCGGCCUCCGCAUCGGGAUGGGCCCGCGGCCCAUUAGCUUGUUGGUGGGGUAAUGGCCCACCAAGGCGACGACGGGUAGCCGGCCUGAGAGGGCGACCGGCCACACUGGGACUGAGACACGGCCCAG
Molecule: ribosomal RNA, 247 nt
Filed under: uncultured bacterium
Lineage: Bacteria
Description: partial 16S ribosomal RNA
Rfam family: Bacterial small subunit ribosomal RNA
Source: RNAcentral